This 547-nucleotide ribosomal RNA is filed under the name uncultured bacterium. RNAcentral describes it as "bacterial SSU rRNA". It matches the Rfam family "Bacterial small subunit ribosomal RNA", at positions 355 to 893 of the family's 1533-position model. The record is from RNAcentral.
UAGGGAAUCUUCCGCAAUGGACGAAAGUCUGACGGAGCAACGCCGCGUGAGUGAUGAAGGCUUUCGGGUCGUAAAACUCUGUUGUUAGGGAAGAACAAGUACGAGAGUAACUGCUCGUACCUUGACGGUACCUAACCAGAAAGCCACGGCUAACUACGUGCCAGCAGCCGCGGUAAUACGUAGGUGGCAAGCGUUAUCCGGAAUUAUUGGGCGUAAAGCGCGCGCAGGCGGUUUCUUAAGUCUGAUGUGAAAGCCCACGGCUCAACCGUGGAGGGUCAUUGGAAACUGGGGAACUUGAGUGCAGAAGAGAAAAGCGGAAUUCCACGUGUAGCGGUGAAAUGCGUAGAGAUGUGGAGGAACACCAGUGGCGAAGGCGGCUUUUUGGUCUGUAACUGACGCUGAGGCGCGAAAGCGUGGGGAGCAAACAGGAUUAGAUACCCUGGUAGUCCACGCCGUAAACGAUGAGUGCUAAGUGUUAGAGGGUUUCCGCCCUUUAGUGCUGCAGCUAACGCAUUAAGCACUCCGCCUGGGGAGUACGUCCGCCAUU